UGUGUGUGUGUGUGUGUCUGUGUGUGUGUGUGUGCGCGCAUGAAAUGGAAUUGGUCACCAUUCUUUGUUUUUUUGCCCUGUCUUCUAUCUCCUUUUCCAGUCUCUCCAGGUCCUCCAGGGUCUCGCAGGGAUGGUCGAGGACGUUGUCUGUGUCGUUCACAGGAUUAUUUCACAACGCUGUGCUUACCAUUUGAAGGACCCGCCAGUGGAGAUAGACCAGUAACUGGAAUUUCAAGAAAUGAAUGAUUGUGAAAUGCAGUUUUAACACUUAAACACUUAAUAUUUUUAUUUGUAAUUUCGAUGUGUGUAUUUCACUUACCCUGCACAAGUGUAUUUGUCAGUGACGCUAGACUCCCUGGAGACCCUGGAGACUCCAGGCUUCCCGGCCCACAUUGUUUUCCCCCGGAAAACAUGUCUUCAGAUAGCUUGUCUAGUGAUCCAAAAGAAAAAGGAGACGCCAUCAGUGAAGGUCUUCAUGAGGACGAAGGUCCUGUGGGGUAAGUUCUGUCAAGGACAAGGACUGGAAGAUGCGCGGAUGGGAUCCCAUACCAUGUUUACCUAGAAUAUCAGCCACAGCAUUAAAACAAUUAGGUAAACCAUUUAUAGUUAACAUUAGUCAGCUUAGAUACAGUUGUAAUGGAACGCACACACCACAGAUCUGGUAUCAAUAUGGUUGUAAAAUGCAUUGAAUGUCUUGUAUAGUUUAAUUGUGUUUGCGUGUGUGUGUAUACUAAUUGUGUGUGUGCAUAUGUAUGUAUGUGUGUGUGUGUAUAUGUAUAUGUAUGUGUGUGUGUGUAUUUAAUUGAAGUUUUGUUAACCAUGUUAAGACAGUU
Alosa alosa (allis shad) is the source of this 833-nucleotide long non-coding RNA. RefSeq lists it as uncharacterized. NCBI's taxonomy places the organism in Eukaryota, Metazoa, Chordata, Actinopteri, Clupeiformes, Clupeidae. The transcript is spliced from 3 exons. The record is from RefSeq and is a predicted model, not a curated record.